GAUGAAGAACGUAGCGAAAUGCGAUAAGUAAUGUGAAUUGCAGAAUUCAGUGAAUCAUCGAAUCUUUGAACGCACCUUGCGCCCUUUGGCUAUUCCGAAGGGCAUGCCUGUUUGAGUAUCAUGAACACCUCAACUCUCAUGGCUUGCUGUGAUGAGCUUGGAAUUUGGGGGUCUUGUUGGCUUGUGAGCCAGCUCCUCCUAAAUGAAUUAGCUUGCCGGUGUUUGGUGGCAUCACAGGUGUGAUAACUAUCUACUCUUGUGGUUUCCCAUCAGGUAACCUCCAGUGAUGGAGGUUCGCUGGGGCUCAUAAAUGUCUCUCCUCAGUGAGGACAGAUUUUGACUGUUUGAUCCCAAAUCAGGUAGGACUACCCGCUGAACUUAAGCAUAUCAAUAAGCGGAGGA
Molecule: unclassified non-coding RNA, 402 nt
Filed under: soil metagenome
Description: partial contains 5.8S ribosomal RNA, internal transcribed spacer 2, and large subunit ribosomal RNA
Rfam family: 5.8S ribosomal RNA (bases 1-121)
Source: RNAcentral